Molecule: ribosomal RNA, 1364 nt
Filed under: uncultured bacterium
Lineage: Bacteria
Description: bacterial SSU rRNA
Rfam family: Bacterial small subunit ribosomal RNA
Source: RNAcentral
AGAGUUUGAUCAUGGCUCAGGACGAACGCUGGCGGCGUGCCUAACACAUGCAAGUCGAACGGGGUAAAGAGCUUCGGUUCUUUACUUAGUGGCGAACGGGUGAGUAACGCGUGAGAAACCUGCCUUUCAGUGGGGGACAACAGGUGGAAACGACUGCUAAUACCGCAUAAUGUUAUUUGAGGGCAUCCUCGGAUAACCAAAGAUUUAUUGCUGAAAGAUGGUCUCGCGUCUGAUUAGCUAGUUGGUGAGGUAACGGCUCACCAAGGCGACGAUCAGUAGCCGGUCUGAGAGGAUGAACGGCCACAUUGGGACUGAGAUACGGCCCAGACUCCUACGGGAGGCAGCAGUGGGGAAUAUUGGGCAAUGGGGGAAACCCUGACCCAGCAACGCCGCGUGAAGGAAGAAGGCCUUCGGGUUGUAAACUUCUUUUACCAGGGACGAAAAUUGACGGUACCUGGAGAAAAAGCAACGGCUAACUACGUGCCAGCAGCCGCGGUAAUACGUAGGUGGCAAGCGUUAUCCGGAAUUAUUGGGCGUAAAGAGUGAGUAGGUGGUUAGAUAAGUCUGGAGUGAAGUACUGUUGCUUAACAAUAGUAUGCUUUGGAUACUAUCUAGCUAGAGAUCGGAAGAGGCUAACGGAAUUCCAUGUGUAGCGGUGAAAUGCGUAGAUAUAUGGAGGAACACCAGUGGCGAAGGCGGUUAGCUAGUCCGAAACUGACACUGAGUCACGAAAGCGUGGGGAGCAAAUAGGAUUAGAUACCCUAGUAGUCCACGCUGUAAACGAUGAGUACUAAGUGUUGGCGCAAGUCAGUGCUGAAGCAAACGCAUUAAGUACUCCGCCUGAGAAGUACGUUCGCAAGAAUGAAACUUAAAGGAAUUGACGGGGGCCCGCACAAGCGGUGGAGCAUGUGGUUUAAUUCGAAGCAACGCGAAGAACCUUACCAAAUCUUGACAUCCUUCUGACCGGAGGUUAACCCCUCCUUCUCUUCGGAGCAGAAGUGACAGGUGGUGCAUGGUUGUCGUCAGCUCGUGUCGUGAGAUGUUGGGUUAAGUCCCGCAACGAGCGCAACCCCUAUCUUUAGUAGCCAGCAUUUCGGAUGGGCACUCUAGAGAGACUGCCGGGGAUAACCCGGAGGAAGGUGGGGAUGACGUCAAAUCAUCAUGCCCCUUAUGAUUUGGGCUACACACGUGCUACAAUGGCGUAAACAAAGGGAAGCAGCCCUGUGAAGGUGAGCAAAUCCCAAAAAUAACGUCUCAGUUCGGAUUGUAGUCUGCAACUCGACUACAUGAAGCUGGAAUCGCUAGUAAUCGCGGAUCAGAAUGCCGCGGUGAAUACGUUCCCGGGUCUUGCACUCACCGCCCGU